AGUCGAGCGAGCUUGCCUAGAUGAUUUUAGUGCUUGCACUAAAUGAAACUAGAUACCAGCGAGCGGCGGACGGGUGAGUAACACGUGGGUAACCUGCCCAAGAGACUGGGAUAACACCUGGAAACAGAUGCUAAUACCGGAUAACAACACUAGACGCAUGUCUAGAGUUUGAAAGAUGGUUCUGCUAUCACUCUUGGAUGGACCUGCGGUGCAUUAGCUAGUUGGUAAGGUAACGGCUUACCAAGGCAAUGAUGCAUAGCCGAGUUGAGAGACUGAUCGGCCACAUUGGGACUGAGACACGGCCCAAACUCCUACGGGAGGCAGCAGUAGGGAAUCUUCCACAAUGGACGAAAGUCUGAUGGAGCAACGCCGCGUGAGUGAAGAAGGGUUUCGGCUCGUAAAGCUCUGUUGGUAGUGAAGAAAGAUAGAGGUAGUAACUGGCCUUUAUUUGACGGUAAUUACUUAGAAAGUCACGGCUAACUACGUGCCAGCAGCCGCGGUAAUACGUAGGUGGCAAGCGUUGUCCGGAUUUAUUGGGCGUAAAGCGAGUGCAGGCGGUUCAAUAAGUCUGAUGUGAAAGCCUUCGGCUCAACCGGAGAAUUGCAUCAGAAACUGUUGAACUUGAGUGCAGAAGAGGAGAGUGGAACUCCAUGUGUAGCGGUGGAAUGCGUAGAUAUAUGGAAGAACACCAGUGGCGAAGGCGGCUCUCUGGUCUGCAACUGACGCUGAGGCUCGAAAGCAUGGGUAGCGAACAGGAUUAGAUACCCUGGUAGUCCACGCCGUAAA
This 786-nucleotide ribosomal RNA is filed under the name uncultured bacterium. RNAcentral describes it as "bacterial SSU rRNA". It matches the Rfam family "Bacterial small subunit ribosomal RNA", at positions 60 to 806 of the family's 1533-position model. The record is from RNAcentral.